UACGAAGGGGUCUAGCGUUGCUCGGAAUCACUGGGCGUAAAGGGUGCGUAGGCGGGUCUUUAAGUCAGGGGUGAAAUCCUGGAGCUCAACUCCAGAACUGCCUUUGAUACUGAAGAUCUUGAGUUCGGGAGAGGUGAGUGGAACUGCGAGUGUAGAGGUGAAAUUCGUAGAUAUCCGCAAGAACACCAGUGGCGAAGGCGGCUCACUGGCCCGAUACUGACGCUGAGACGCGAAAGCGUGGGGAGCGAACAGG
Molecule: ribosomal RNA, 253 nt
Filed under: uncultured bacterium
Lineage: Bacteria
Description: partial 16S ribosomal RNA
Rfam family: Bacterial small subunit ribosomal RNA
Source: RNAcentral